RNAcentral lists this long non-coding RNA (1251 nucleotides) under Homo sapiens (human). RNAcentral's name for it is "HSALNT0379873". The record is from RNAcentral. Lineage: Eukaryota; Metazoa; Chordata; Mammalia; Primates; Hominidae.
CUUGACAUAGAUACAGAUAACAUACACGCCCAGAUGAUGUCACAAUCAGCUGUAUCUAAACAGAGCAGAGCUCAGGUGACAUCACAGAACAGGCAGAGGCAGUUCAGGGGUAUUCUGGUUGCCUUACCCAGCUCUGAAGUCUGUCAGCCUCUUCAGAUGUCACUUGCCAUGUGGUAAGGAAGUGUAGUCAGCAGCUGGUGCAGUGGGAAGAAGAGAAAGGAAGUUCCCCAAGACAAAAACAUCUCGGCAGACUUCAUCAUGAAUUCAUGGCAUCACACAGUCCCCUGAUGCUAUAACAUCAUGGAUUUCUUUUGUCCAGUGAGAGGCCCAAAAGCUGCAGCAUAGACAAUAUCAUAGUGUAGAAGGUUCACUAGACCGUGAUCAUGGGCUACAUUCUCCGUACCAGCUUCAUAGCUCCAGUGAGAAAAUAAAUUCCUGCAUCCAGGAGAUGUGGAGUAAGAGAUACAGCUGCCCUUGACCAUAUUUCUUACUUCCGAGAAGAUCGUAGCAGUAAUUCAGAAUCUCAUCCAGGAUACCUCAUCACAGGCUGGAGUGCAGUGUCAUGAGCUUGGCUCACUACAGCCUCCAUCUUCUGUGCUUAAGGAUCCUUCCCUCUCAACCUCCAAGGUAGCUGAGACUACAGGCAACAUUCGAAACCCAGGUGCCACUCCUUCAGGAAGGUACCAUCAAGCUCCAAGGACUCAUCCUCUUUCUCCUUCCCCACUACCUAGUCAUUAGAGCGUCAGCAUCCACUUCCUGAAAGGAAGAUGCCUGUUUUUCACAUAUCCCAGAAAGCCUCAUUUUAGGACAGCAUUUAGCAGAGUGUAUUCAGGAUCCCACUAACCUUUUCGGAAGACAUGACUUCCAGAUGAUAUAAGGCUCCAUCAGGAACUGUGCAGGACUGUGCACUCUGUUGAUACUCACAUGGUGGAAUUAUAUUGCCCUUGGCCAACCCUAAAGCCAUCAAGAUAGCAGGUUUGGAAUAAUUCACUGUCGAAGUCUUCUUGAGCUGAGCAGUCAUGUGAGCUUGGAAGAUGAUCCCUCUCCAGCUGAUCCUUCAGCUCAGGCCAUCAUCUACAUCUGGAUUCCUGACCCGGAGAAACUAUGAGUAAUGUGUGCUGCUUUUGAGCCACUAAGCUACAUGCUGCCAUGUAAGAUGUGCCUUACUUCCCCUUUGCCUUCAAUCAUGACUGUAAGUUUCCUGAGGCCUCCCCAGCCAUGCAGAAAUGUAAGUCAAUUACACCUUUUCUC